GGCCAGACUCCUACGGGAGGCAGCAGUGAGGAAUAUUGGUCAAUGGCCGGGAGGCUGAACCAGCCAAGUCGCGUGAGGGAAGACGGCCCUACGGGUUGUAAACCUCUUUUGUCAGGGAGCAAGGUGCAGGUCGGGACCUGCUGUGAGAGUACCUGAAGAAAAAGCAUCGGCUAACUCCGUGCCAGCAGCCGCGGUAAUACGGAGGAUGCGAGCGUUAUCCGGAUUUAUUGGGUUUAAAGGGUGCGUAGGCGGGUUGUUAAUUCAGCGGUAAAAGCCGGGGGCACACCCCCGGCGAGCCGUUGAAACUGACUGUCUUGAGAUGUCGAGAGGUAUGCGGAAUGCGCAGUGUAGCGGUGAAAUGCUUAGAUAUUGCGCAGAACUCCGAUUGCGAAGGCAGCAUACCGGCGGCGAUCUGACGCUGAGGCACGAAAGCGUGGGUAUCGAACAGGAUUAGAUACCCCAGUAA
RNAcentral lists this ribosomal RNA (466 nucleotides) under uncultured bacterium. RNAcentral describes it as "bacterial SSU rRNA". It matches the Rfam family "Bacterial small subunit ribosomal RNA", at positions 329 to 793 of the family's 1533-position model. The record is from RNAcentral.